Molecule: ribosomal RNA, 414 nt
Filed under: uncultured bacterium
Lineage: Bacteria
Description: bacterial SSU rRNA
Rfam family: Bacterial small subunit ribosomal RNA
Source: RNAcentral
UUUAAUUCGAAGCAACGCGCAGAACCUUACCAGCGUUUGACAUGCCUAGUUUGGUUUCCAGAGAUGGAUUCCUUCAGUUCGGCUGGCUAGGACACAGGUGCUGCAUGGCUGUCGUCAGCUCGUGUCGUGAGAUGUUGGGUUAAGUCCCGCAACGAGCGCAACCCUCGUCCUUAGUUGCCAUCAUUAAGUUGGGCACUCUAAGGAAACCGCCGGUGAUAAGCCGGAGGAAGGUGGGGAUGACGUCAAGUCCUCAUGGCCCUUACACGCUGGGCUACACACGUGCUACAAUGGCGGUGACAGUGGGCAGCAAACUCGCGAGGGUGAGCUAAUCUCCAAAAGCCGUCUCAGUUCGGAUUGUUCUCUGCAACUCGGGAGCAUGAAGGCGGAAUCGCUAGUAAUCGCGGAUCAGCACGC